AGCGAACGCUGGCGGCAGGCCUAACACAUGCCAGUCGAACGAACCUUUCGGGGUUAGUGGCGGACGGGUGAGUAACACGUGGGAACGUGCCUUUAGGUUCGGAAUAACUCAGGGAAACUUGUGCUAAUACCGAAUGUGCCCUUCGGGGGAAAGAUUAAUCGCCUUUAGAGCGGCCCGCGUCUGAUUAGCUAGUUGGUUGAGGUAAUGGCUCACCAAGGCGACGAUCAGUAGCUGGUCUGAGAGGAUGAUCAGCCACAUUGGGACUGAGACACGGCCCAAACUCCUACGGGAGGCAGCAGUGGGGAAUCUUGCGCAAUGGGCGAAAGACUGACGCAGCCAUGCCGCGUGAAUGAUGAAGGUCUUAGGAUUGUAAAAUUCUUUCACCGGGGACGAUAAUGACGGUACCCGGAGAAGAAGCCCCGGCUAACUUCGUG
Molecule: ribosomal RNA, 434 nt
Filed under: uncultured bacterium
Lineage: Bacteria
Description: partial 16S ribosomal RNA
Rfam family: Bacterial small subunit ribosomal RNA
Source: RNAcentral